GCCCACGUAGCUCAGCUGGAUAGAGCAACGGACUUCUAAUCCGUAGGUCGCACGUUCGAAUCGUGCCGUGGGUACAA
RNAcentral lists this transfer RNA (77 nucleotides) under Fidelibacterota bacterium. RNAcentral's name for it is "tRNA-Arg". It matches the Rfam family "tRNA". From Rfam's summary of the family: Transfer RNA (tRNA) molecules are approximately 80 nucleotides in length. Their secondary structure includes four short double-helical elements and three loops (D, anti-codon, and T loops). Further hydrogen bonds mediate the characteristic L-shaped molecular structure. tRNAs have two regions of fundamental functional importance: the anti-codon, which is responsible for specific mRNA codon recognition, and the 3' end, to which the tRNAs corresponding amino acid is attached (by aminoacyl-tRNA synthetases). tRNAs cope with the degeneracy of the genetic code in two manners: having more than one tRNA (with a specific anti-codon) for a particular amino acid; and 'wobble' base-pairing, i.e. permitting non-standard base-pairing at the 3rd anti-codon position. Lineage: Bacteria; Pseudomonadati; Fidelibacterota. The record is from RNAcentral.